This 268-nucleotide unclassified non-coding RNA is filed under the name air metagenome. Its description in RNAcentral is "partial contains small subunit ribosomal RNA, internal transcribed spacer 1, and 5.8S ribosomal RNA". The stretch from base 1 to 46 matches the Rfam family "Eukaryotic small subunit ribosomal RNA", at positions 1786 to 1831 of the family's 1831-position model. The record is from RNAcentral.
AAGUCGUAACAAGGUUUCCGUAGGUGAACCUGCGGAAGGAUCAUUAACGUAUCUCUGGGGGUUCGGGGGCCCUGCUCCGGUUCUGGCCGUGCAGCGGGUGCCUGUCCCCCCAAAACCACAAACCCACUGUGCACCUUUCGCGGUGGAGGGUGUGGCGCGAGCCCCACCUGAAGCCGCGGUCUCAUAGACACUGGUACAUAAGAAUGUUCAGCGAACUCUGUUUCGCCCACAAACGUAACAACUUUCAACAACGGAUCUCUUGGCUCUC